Molecule: ribosomal RNA, 254 nt
Filed under: uncultured bacterium
Lineage: Bacteria
Description: partial 16S ribosomal RNA
Rfam family: Bacterial small subunit ribosomal RNA
Source: RNAcentral
UACGUAGGGGGCGAGCGUUGUCCGGAAUUAUUGGGCGUAAGGAGCUCGUAGGCGGCUCAGCAAGUCGGGUGGGAAAUCUCCAGGCUCAACCUGGAGCCUUCGCUCGAUACUGCUGUGGCUUGAGUCCGGUAGGGGAGUGUGGAAUUCCCGGUGUAGCGGUGAAAUGCGCAGAUAUCGGGAGGAACACCGGCGGCGAAGGCGGCACUCUGGGCCGGUACUGACGCUGAGGAGCGAAAGCGUGGGGAGCAAGCAGG